UCCGAGUUGACCCCGGCAGUCUCCCAUGAGUCCCCACCAUUACGUGCUGGCAACAUGGAACGAGGGUUGCGCUCGUUGCGGGACUUAACCCAACAUCUCACGACACGAGCUGACGACAGCCAUGCACCACCUGUGGCGGUGCCCCGAAGGGAGGGUGUGUUUCCACACCGGUCACCAACAUGUCAAACCCAGGUAAGGUUCUUCGCGUUGCGUCGAAUUAAACCACAUGCUCCGCUGCUUGUGCGGGUCCCCGUCAAUUCCUUUGAGUUUUAGCCUUGCGGCCGUACUCCCCAGGCGGGGCGCUUAAUGCGUUAGCUACGGCACGGAUCCCGUGGAAGGAAACCCACACCUAGCGCCCACCGUUUACGGCGUGGACUAC
RNAcentral lists this unclassified non-coding RNA (379 nucleotides) under uncultured Actinomycetes bacterium. RNAcentral's name for it is "uncultured actinobacterium contains 16S-23S intergenic spacer region". Lineage: Bacteria; Bacillati; Actinomycetota; Actinomycetes. The record is from RNAcentral.